AAAGACUCAAUUUCUGAGGUUCUGUGUUCAACAUUUGACUAUCCGUUUUAUAUAAAAUAUUUUUAUGAUUAGUAUUUUUGUUGUUGUUAGAUAAUAAAACAUGAAUAAUAUUUUAUAUAUAACUUAUCCUUUUAAAUUUUUUUAUAUUUUUAUCAAAUAAGACGGACGGUAAGUGUUGGACAUGAAAACAUAGGAAUUAAGUUAUU
Molecule: microRNA precursor, 206 nt
Filed under: Oryza meridionalis
Lineage: Eukaryota; Viridiplantae; Streptophyta; Magnoliopsida; Poales; Poaceae
Description: MIR812 microRNA precursor family
Rfam family: MIR812 microRNA precursor family
Source: Rfam by way of RNAcentral